GCGUAGCAAUACGUCAGCGGCAGACGGGUGAGUAACGCGUGGGAACGUACCUUUUGGUUCGGAACAACACAGGGAAACUUGUGCUAAUACCGGAUAAGCCCUUACGGGGAAAGAUUUAUCGCCGAAAGAUCGGCCCGCGUCUGAUUAGCUAGUUGGUGGGGUAACGGCCCACCAAGGCGACGAUCAGUAGCUGGUCUGAGAGGAUGAUCAGCCACAUUGGGACUGAGACACGGCCCAAACUCCUACGGGAGGCAGCAGUGGGGAAUAUUGGACAAUGGGCGCAAGCCUGAUCCAGCCAUGCCGCGUGAGUGAUGAAGGCCCUAGGGUUGUAAAGCUCUUUUGUGCGGGAAGAUAAUGACGGUACCGCAAGAAUAAGCCCCGGCUAACUUCGUGCCAGCAGCCGCGGUAAUACGAAGGGGGCUAGCGUUGCUCGGAAUCACUGGGCGUAAAGGGUGCGUAGGCGGGUCUUUAAGUCAGGGGUGAAAUCCUGGAGCUCAACUCCAGAACUGCCUUUGAUACUGAGGAUCUUGAGUUCGGGAGAGGUGAGUGGAACUGCGAGUGUAGAGGUGAAAUUCGUAGAUAUUCGCAAGAACACCAGUGGCGAAGGCGGCUCACUGGCCCGAUACUGACGCUGAG
This 636-nucleotide ribosomal RNA is filed under the name Bradyrhizobium sp. RNAcentral's name for it is "bacterial SSU rRNA". It matches the Rfam family "Bacterial small subunit ribosomal RNA", at positions 74 to 750 of the family's 1533-position model. Lineage: Bacteria; Pseudomonadati; Pseudomonadota; Alphaproteobacteria; Hyphomicrobiales; Nitrobacteraceae. The record is from RNAcentral.